UACGUAGGGUGCGAGCGUUAAUCGGAAUUAUUGGGCGUAAAGGGCGCGUAGGCGGUUUUUUAAGUCGGAUGUGCAAUCCCUGGGCUCAACCCAGGAACUGCAUCCGAGACUGGAAGGCUAGAGUACUGGAGAGGGUGGUGGAAUUCCUCGUGUAGCGGUGAAAUGCGUAGAUAUGUGGAGGAACACCAGUGGCGAAGGCGGCUUCCUGGACUAAAACUGACACUGAGGCACGAAAGCGUGGGUAGCAAACAGG
RNAcentral lists this ribosomal RNA (253 nucleotides) under uncultured bacterium. RNAcentral describes it as "partial 16S ribosomal RNA". It matches the Rfam family "Bacterial small subunit ribosomal RNA", at positions 524 to 776 of the family's 1533-position model. The record is from RNAcentral.